UACGUAGGGUGCAAGCGUUAUCCGGAAUUAUUGGGCGUAAAGAGCUCGUAGGCGGUUUGUCGCGUCUGCUGUGAAAACUGGAGGCUCAACCUCCAGCCUGCAGUGGAUACUGGCUCGCUAGAGUGCGGUAGAGGAGAGUGGAAUUCCCGGUGUAGCAGUGAAAUGCGUAGAGAUCGGGAGGAACAUCAGUUGCGAAGGCGGCUCUCUGGACCAGCACUGACACUGAGGCACGAAAGCGUGGGGAGCAAACAGG
This 253-nucleotide ribosomal RNA is filed under the name uncultured bacterium. RNAcentral describes it as "partial 16S ribosomal RNA". It matches the Rfam family "Bacterial small subunit ribosomal RNA", at positions 524 to 776 of the family's 1533-position model. The record is from RNAcentral.